Amphiprion ocellaris (clown anemonefish) is the source of this 518-nucleotide long non-coding RNA. NCBI's taxonomy places the organism in Eukaryota, Metazoa, Chordata, Actinopteri, Pomacentridae. The record is from Ensembl.
GGAACUAAUGAUUGGUUUGGCCGUUGCAGCAGGGGGUUCAAAUUGAUUGACGGACGUAGCUCCACUAUACUCCUGAACACUUCUGGACAGACCAGUCUUCUGUGGCUGCAGUGCCGAGUCCGCCGACGGAGUCUCUGCUUAUCGGCGGCUUCAUGCCCGUGUAGCGUCGGACAGCCGAGGUGGAUUUGUCCAUUUCUGUCUGUGCUUUUCAGUUUUGCCUUUCAUUUUUUUUGUUGCUGUCUAAUAAAGACAGAACUUGUCCUGGACUUGUCACAGAUGAAUCCCCAACAGGCCCUCUGCUGUAAAACGCUGGGUGUAUCCCUCCUGACCCUACAAACUGCAGACCUUGUCUUAGCUCUGUCAAUCUUUAUCAAAUACUGUACAUCUGAUCAUUUUCAUCAGCAGAUUUAAAAUGUCUUAUCCCAUUUUGUCAAUGUCCUUUCAAUGUGCACAAUAUUUCAGCAUCAAGAAAGAAGUUAUGGUUACACAAAUAAAAGACAUCUGAUAAACACUCAAAA